UCAACUUGGGAACUGCAUCCUGAACUUGGUCAACUAGAGUACAGCAGAGGAGAGUGGAAUUUCUCGUGUAGCGGUGAAAUGCGUUAGAUAUGAGAAGGAACACCAGUGGCGAAGGCGACUGACUGGCUCGAUACUGACACUGAGGUACGAAAGCGUGGGGAGCAAACAGGAUUAGAUACCCUGGUAGUCCACGCCGUAAACGAUGUCUACUAGCCGUUGGAGGACUUGAUCCUUUAGUGGCGAAGCUAACGCGAUAAGUAGACCGCCUGGGGAGUACGGUCGCAAGAUUAAAACUCAAAUGAAUUGACGGGGGCCCGCACAAGCGGUGGAGCAUGUGGUUUAAUUCGACGCAACGCGAAGAACCUUACCUGGUCUUGACAUCCUGCGAACUUUCUAGAGAUAGAUUGGUGCCUUCGGGAACGCAGUGACAGGUGCUGCAUGGCU
RNAcentral lists this ribosomal RNA (444 nucleotides) under uncultured Gammaproteobacteria bacterium. RNAcentral describes it as "bacterial SSU rRNA". It matches the Rfam family "Bacterial small subunit ribosomal RNA", at positions 609 to 1050 of the family's 1533-position model. Lineage: Bacteria; Pseudomonadati; Pseudomonadota; Gammaproteobacteria. The record is from RNAcentral.